RNAcentral lists this transfer RNA (69 nucleotides) under Loxodonta africana (African savanna elephant). It matches the Rfam family "tRNA". Rfam says of the family: Transfer RNA (tRNA) molecules are approximately 80 nucleotides in length. Their secondary structure includes four short double-helical elements and three loops (D, anti-codon, and T loops). The record is from Rfam by way of RNAcentral. Lineage: Eukaryota; Metazoa; Chordata; Mammalia; Proboscidea; Elephantidae.
GCAAUGGCGGUUCAGUGGUAGAGUCCCCCCUUCAUGCGGGAGACCUGGGUUCAAUUCCUGGCCAAUGCA